RNAcentral lists this long non-coding RNA (767 nucleotides) under Phascolarctos cinereus (koala). Its description in RNAcentral is "lncRNA (ENSPCIG00000013231.2)". Lineage: Eukaryota; Metazoa; Chordata; Mammalia; Diprotodontia; Phascolarctidae. The record is from RNAcentral.
UUCUUUGUAAUCCUAUUUAUUUUAUGUUCUUAAAAAAGUUAUUUUUUUUUAUUUCAUUAAGACUUUAUUGCAGUGGAAAAUGGAGCAGCCCCUCAACUGGAGCCAUCCUUGUCAUGGCCUAGGAGGUGGGGGAGGGAGAGAUGCCAGUGAAGAUGUGUCUCUGGGGGAUACUCUGAUCCCUGAGGUUCAAGGUGUCCCAAGUUCUACACAUUAAGGUUAAGAAGAUUCAGAGUGAGGUUGUAAGCAUCAUGCCAGUGAAAUGCUUUGAAAGAGAAGAAAAAUAUAGGGGAAACAAGCACCUCAUGAUCACAGCACAUAUACGAGGAAGACAAUUUUGCUUUUGGCCAUUGAUGUGGAACUUCAGAACAUUCUGCAGGGCAGGGGACCAUCCCCUUCAGACAACAUUCUUGACCUUGAUUCUUUGUGAGAAAUAGUUCAAAUACUGAUCCGCCUCAGCAGAGACACUCCCUCCAUUUCCCUGGCCAUCCUUAGCUAAAAAGAUAUCAACAGCCGGCUAUUAACAUAACGGGACAAGGGAUGAGUCUGGACAUCAAUCAGACAAUAAUGCUGUCUGCAGCAAAGAGGAGCCCAUCGACCAGGGCGACAGCUACUGAAAACUAAUUAGCAAAGCCACAUUGCAAUGGAAUUUCGAAUUAAGCAAGGCAUGCAUUUACCUUCCACUGUGCUAAUUAGUGAACCUAUAUUUAAUAAUAAUUUUAUGACUGCUGAGCAAACAGACACAUAAUAAAGAUCUCCAUGUUCCCCCA